GUCCAGCUGACGAGUCUCAAAUAGGACGAAACGAGUGUCCCGGAU
Molecule: non-coding RNA, 45 nt
Organism: Schistosoma curassoni
Lineage: Eukaryota; Metazoa; Platyhelminthes; Trematoda; Strigeidida; Schistosomatidae
Source: Rfam